CCGCACAGCGAGGAGCAUGUGGUUAAUCGAUGAUACGCGAGGAACCUUACCUGGGCUCGAACGUAAGAUGACUGUAGGUGAAAGCUUACAUCUCUUCGGAGCAUUUUACGAGGUGCUGCAUGGUUGUCGUCAGCUCGUGCCGUGAGGUGUCGGGUUAAGUCCCAUAACGAGCGCAACCCCUACCUUUAGUUGCCAUCAGGUUAAGCUGGGGACUCUAAAGGAACUGCCUACGCAAGUAGUGAGGAAGGCGGGGAUGACGUCAAAUCAGCACGGCCCUUACGUCCAGGGCUACACACGUGCUACAAUGGCCGAUACAGAGGGCAGCUACCUGGUGACAGGAUGCAAAUCUCCAAAGUCGGUCUCAGUUCGGAUCGGAGUCUGCAACCCGACUCCGUGAAGUUGGAUUCGCUAGUAAUCGCGCAUCAGCCAUGGCGCGGUGAAUACGUUCCCGGGCCUU
RNAcentral lists this ribosomal RNA (457 nucleotides) under uncultured Sphingobacteriales bacterium. RNAcentral's name for it is "bacterial SSU rRNA". It matches the Rfam family "Bacterial small subunit ribosomal RNA", at positions 921 to 1382 of the family's 1533-position model. The record is from RNAcentral. Lineage: Bacteria; Pseudomonadati; Bacteroidota; Sphingobacteriia; Sphingobacteriales.